GGUGAACGCUGGCGGUAGGCCUAACACAUGCAAGUCGAACGGAAGGACAGUAAGCUUGUGCUUUUACCGGUGGCGGGGGGCGGAUGGGUGACGCGUGCAUCGUCAUCUUCUUUUUCGUGGAGGAUUACGUGGGGAAGCUUCCGCUACCACAGCAUAUGAUGUACCGCUUAAAUCAAUGGAUCUUCGCAGCUUUCGCGACUGAAUUAGCCGAUGUCGCAUUAGAUAGUUGGCUGGGUAACGGCCCACCAAGUCGACGAUGCGUAGCCGAUCUGAGAGGAUGAUCGGCCACACUGGAACUGAGACACGGUCCAGACUCCUACGGGAGGCAGCAGUAGGGAAUAUUGGGCAAUGGGCGAAAGCCUGAUCCAGCCAUACCGCGUGAGUGAAGAAGGCCUUCGGGUUGUAAAGCCCUGUUGUUGGGAAAGAACAGAAGUAGAUUAAUACACGGCCGUUUUGACGGUACCCAAAGAAUAAGCAACGGCUAACUACGUG
This 492-nucleotide ribosomal RNA is filed under the name uncultured bacterium. RNAcentral describes it as "partial 16S ribosomal RNA". It matches the Rfam family "Bacterial small subunit ribosomal RNA", at positions 28 to 507 of the family's 1533-position model. The record is from RNAcentral.